AUUAAACGCUGGCGGCAUGCCUUACACAUGCAAGUCGAACGGUAGCGCGGGGCAACCUGGCGACGAGUGGCGAACGGGUGAGUAAAGCAUCGGAACGUGCCCUGGAAUGGGGGAUAACGUAGCGAAAGUUACGCUAAUACCGCAUAUUCUGUGAGCAGGAAAGCAGGGGAUCGCAAGACCUUGCGUUCUGGGAGCGGCCGAUGUCGGAUUAGCUAGUUGGUGGGGUAAAAGCCUACCAAGGCGACGAUCCGUAGCGGGUCUGAGAGGAUGAUCCGCCACACUGGGACCGAGACACGGCCCAGACUCCUACGGGAGGCAGCAGUGGGGAAUUUUGGACAAUGGGCGGAAGCCUGAUCCAGCCAUGCCGCGUGAGUGAAGAAGGCCUGGU
Molecule: ribosomal RNA, 388 nt
Filed under: uncultured bacterium
Lineage: Bacteria
Description: bacterial SSU rRNA
Rfam family: Bacterial small subunit ribosomal RNA
Source: RNAcentral